Molecule: ribosomal RNA, 275 nt
Filed under: uncultured bacterium
Lineage: Bacteria
Description: partial 16S ribosomal RNA
Rfam family: Bacterial small subunit ribosomal RNA
Source: RNAcentral
AUACGGAGGGUGCAAGCGUUAAUCGGAAUUACUGGGCGUAAAGCGUGCGUAGGCGGUUCGUUAAGUUAGAUGUGAAAGCCCCGGGCUUAACCUGGGAACUGCAUUUAAAACUGGCGAACUAGAGUUGAGUAGAGGGGAGUGGAAUUUCAGGUGUAGCGGUGAAAUGCGUAGAGAUCUGAAGGAACACCAGUGGCGAAGGCGACUCCCUGGACUCGAACUGACGCUGAGGUACGAAAGCGUGGGUAGCAAACGGGAUUAGAUACCCUAGUAGUCCC